Molecule: non-coding RNA, 72 nt
Organism: Parelaphostrongylus tenuis
Lineage: Eukaryota; Metazoa; Nematoda; Chromadorea; Rhabditida; Metastrongylidae
Source: the annotation of a GenBank genome assembly
GCGUCGGUGGUGCAACGGUUAGCAUAUGCUCCCGGGAAGGGCAAGAUCUAGGUUUGAAUCUCGGCUCGUGGA